Molecule: ribosomal RNA, 484 nt
Filed under: uncultured bacterium
Lineage: Bacteria
Description: partial 16S ribosomal RNA
Rfam family: Bacterial small subunit ribosomal RNA
Source: RNAcentral
AUUGAACGCUGGCGGCAUGCCUUACACAUGCAAGUCGAACGGCAGCGCGGGAGCAAUCCUGGCGGCGAGUGGCGAACGGGUGAGUAAUACAUCGGAACGUGCCCAAUCGUGGGGGAUAACGCAGCGAAAGCUGUGCUAAUACCGCAUACGAUCUACGGAUGAAAGCAGGGGAUCGCAAGACCUUGCGCGAAUGGAGCGGCCGAUGGCAGGUUAGGUAGUUGGUGAGGUAAAGGCUCACCAAGCCUUCGAUCUGUAGCUGGUCUGAGAGGACGACCAGCCACACUGGGAGUGAGACACGGCCCAGACUCCUACGGGAGGCAGCAGUGGGGAAUUUUGGACAAUGGGCGAAAGCCUGAUCCAGCCAUGCCGCGUGCAGGAUGAAGGCCUUCGGGUUGUAAACUGCUUUUGUACGGAACGAAACGGUCUUUUCUAAUAAAGAAGGCUAAUGACGGUACCGUACGAAUAAGCACCGGCUAACUACGUG